CCGUGAGGGAAAGUUGAAAAGAACUUUGAAGAGAGAGUUCAAAAGGGCGUGAAACCGCUUAGAAUAAAACGGACGGAGCCGUCUGUGGCCCAUCGGAAUCAGUCGAAUCGACGCGUGAAGGCGGGUACGACGUGAAAACGGAACGAAAGUCCGGUCGUCUCGUAGUAAAACAGUAACGCUCGUUCGAUGCAUUUCCGAAGGGUAAGCACCGCGACCGAUGUCGAAGGCUAGUGAAACCGUUCGGAUUGAGGUCGAGUACGUUCGCGUGUCUCGUAACCAGUCCGUCGGUACGAAUAGAAUUCGCUAGACCCUAGCAUCGAGAAUCAAACAAAUGAACGUCGGUGAUAUAUAAGCGCUCACUUAUUACGACGGACGUACAGCCGUUCGAUCGUCGCCUGCUCGCAGGUUACGGUUAGUAAUCAGGUUCGUAUCCGAAGUCGUUAGUGACGUUCCGACGUUCAGGCGUCCGCGGUGUCCGAGUCGGUCACCCGUCCGACCCGUCUUGAAACACGGACCAAGGAGUCUAACGUAAGCGCGAGCUAAUGGGCGGAAAACCCAUAAGCGAAAUAAAAGUAAAAGCCGUUUCGGACGGCCGAGGUACGAUCCCGAAGAACGAAAUAUCUUCGGGCGCAGUACCGUCCCGUCCCGACCGCUUGUCGGUAGGGCGGAGACAGAGUGCAUACGUUGGGACCCGAAAGAUGGUGAACUAUGCCUGAGCAGAGCGAAGCCAGAGGAAACUCUGGUGGAGGUUCGUAGCGGUUCUGACGUGCAAAUCGAUCGUCAGACUUGGGUAUAGGGGCGAAAGACUAAUCGAACCAUCUAGUAGCUGGUU
RNAcentral lists this ribosomal RNA (832 nucleotides) under Xiphinema nuragicum. RNAcentral describes it as "eukaryotic LSU rRNA". It matches the Rfam family "Eukaryotic large subunit ribosomal RNA", at positions 351 to 956 of the family's 3401-position model. The record is from RNAcentral. Lineage: Eukaryota; Metazoa; Nematoda; Enoplea; Dorylaimida; Longidoridae.